UACAGAGGGUGCAAGCGUUAAUCGGAAUUACUGGGCGUAAAGCGCACGUAGGCGGUUUUCUAAGUCAGAUGUGAAAGCCCCGGACUCAACCUGGGAAUUGCAUUUGAAACUGGAAAACUAGAGUGUGUGAGAGGGGGGUAGAAUUCCAAGUGUAGCGGUGAAAUGCGUAGAGAUUUGAAGGAAUACCAGUGGCGAAGGCGGCCCCCUCGGCGACAACACUGACGCUCAGGUGCGAAAGACGU
RNAcentral lists this ribosomal RNA (242 nucleotides) under uncultured bacterium. Its description in RNAcentral is "partial 16S ribosomal RNA". It matches the Rfam family "Bacterial small subunit ribosomal RNA", at positions 524 to 763 of the family's 1533-position model. The record is from RNAcentral.